CCGGCGGAAUCGGACGUCCACUGUCCUCGGCAGAAUUAACCAGGUGUUAUCUUAUGCAAACUUUAUCGCCGUCAGAUGAAGAUGACCAUCCCGGCGAUGAGGAUGAGCGCGCUUCGGUGGAGGAGCAGACUUUUUUCCGUCUCCAAACGAGCGGAGAGGCACAGGGGCGAGACAAUAACGCCCAGAAGUUAUUGAAAUGAAUCGAGCUGACAUAAGAAGAAGAAACAAAAGGGGCGCUAGCAGCGUUAGCCUUGACCGCAGAGGGAAGCGCGGGAAGCAGAAGAGCAAACAAGGAAAACACAAGAGCGAUGAAAGAGAGGUCCAGACAUGAAGGAGGCACGCAUUCACACACGUACAACGGCACCUAGAGUCUGUCUGCGGUCUACACCACCCUGCCACACACACACAUAUACACACACACAAACACACACAUGCCUGUUACGGUAAGAAUCAGAGACCACCGAGUUAGGGGGACAAUAAUAGUGUGAAUGUGAGAAAAAAAACCUCAUUAUCCACUGCUAUUUUCUCCUCUGAGUAAUUUAAAGACAAAUUGACUACUUGGAUUCCAAAGUGCUCUAAAUUCAGUAAUUAAAUAAAUAAAAUAAGAAUAUAAAAUAAAUUAGCUAAAUUCAGUCAUUUAACUUCUGAAAAGUAGUUUCUCGGUGCUGGUAAAUAAACAAUGAAAAGAACGUCUUUCAAUCAAAUUCGGAUGUCUCAUUUUGAGCAAAUCUUAAUUUAUGCAGUUCCAUUUUAAUUUUAAUUGUGUGUGUCUGCUGUCAUGCAUGCCAUUUCUAGUGUGUCUGCAUGUGUGUGUGUGCACAAAGCCUGCUUCGUUUUUGUUUUUUUUUCUAUUUCCAUCAGUCGAAACCAAUCUCCACAACUCAAGUUUAACAGCUGCACCACAUAUCCCACAAACCCCCACGUCCACCCACCCCCCCCCACCCCCCCUACCCACCCUGUGCCCCUCCCAGGCUUCCCAGCAUCCUGCUUCGCCCUUCAUCAAAAAAAAAAAAAAGCCAUGCACGCGUGCUGAAAUUACAGUGUGUGAGGCAGCAUUGUGGGAAGCCCUUCCUUCCCUCUCCACCCGCUGUAUUUGCCCUUCUCGUCCCCUCCUUAUCUUUUUCUCAUUCCGCUCUGUUUCGGAUGGGAUCGGGCGGGGUUUAUUUUGAUGUUCAUUAAACUGUCAAAUGGCUGCCCGUACUUAAUUUGCAUCCGUAGUUAACAGUGACGAAAGUUCAGGCUGAGGUUAAUAAGGUAUUAAUGCACUUCUAAAUAAGAUUGGCCUCUUUGUAUAAUUGAUUAGGUUUUUAUUUUUGGGGCCUUUGCACAUUACAUUUAGGAUGAUAGUUUGUCCUUUUACGCUCAGGGAACCUCUGUGUUUAUGAACUGUUCUGAACAUUUGAACACAGUAGCUCAUAAGUGAACAACAAAUAUAAUUAGUUUGCGUUAACUUGUCUUGUAUGUGUCCUGAGUUAUGGGAGAAAAAAAUAAAAAAAAAACUGUACUACACUGACUUAAAAAGAGGAGGAGAGACGUUAACAUUUUGCCAUAUGCCAGUGUUGGAUUCAUCUGUUAAUAGGUGGCCUAAAUUUUCCUUAACCAUACAAAUCAGUGCUUAUGAGUUUGCCCACUGUUACUAAUGGAUAUAACAGAGCUAUAUCAUUUCCAUGCACAUACUUUAAGGUUUAAACCCCUCAUGUCUGGCAGGUCUUUCCCACGGAAAAUACUUCCCAAAGAGGCAGUUGUUUCUGUGUCAUACAAACAAGAUGACUUUGGUAGUUAUCAUAAGCAAUGGUUGCCAGAAAAGAUGAAACGGAGAUCUUUGAAAAGAGCAACACAAAAAUAUUACAGCAUAGCAGUACAGACAUGAGAAAAAAUAAAUAAAUAAAACAUAAAUAUAAGAACAACGCUGCUUGUACGGAAGCUACUUAAAUCAGAAAGCAGCCCCGUCCUCAUAGUUUCUAGCUCCAGGUUGACUGACGGCGCCGCCCUCACAGCAACUGUUACUAACCAGCUGUAAUGACACACUCCAUCAAUUCGGCUUUGCCUGCGCGAGGCUAGCUUGGUUAACAGUCGGCCGAGGUGCGGCAUGAGAGUGUGUGUGUGUGUGCUGGCUAUUAAAGCACUUGAGAAUCAGAGAGGAAAGGACUCGCACUGCUAAUGGAUGUGUCUAUUGAUGUUCCCAUUUAGCAGCACACUGUAAACGAUAGGGCAAUGAUUGUGUUGAAGACGGAAGGAGGUGGAGGAGGAGUGGAGAGCGGUUUGGCUGGGCGAUGAUAAUGACAAGGAAGGUUAUUAUUUGGCGCCCUGCGGAGUCUCUGCUUUGUGCGUGUGUGUGUGUGUGUGUGUGUGUGUGUGUAAGAGAGAGAGGCGCUCUUCCUCCAUCUCUCUCGCUCCUGUCGCUCUCCCAGCCUAUUGGCUAUUAUUCACUUCUCGCUUUUUCUCCCCAGUCUGCUCCUCUCUCACGACAUUACUCACUGCUGCUAGUCUACAUCCAAUUGUGGCUGUCUCUCUCACACAUUCACUCCUAUUUCUCUUUUCUCAAUGGCCUUCCCCUUUUUUUUAAAAAAAAAAAGCACAUAGUGCAGGUAUCUUUUGUGAUGGCAGAUAAAAUUGCAGAAAAAGAAGUCAAAGAUGGAAUAAUGCAGCAGAGGUGGCCAAAUAGUUUCUUGUUAUGAUUUUUUUUAGAAUAGCAGCUUGCCCUUGAAAUAU
Epinephelus lanceolatus (giant grouper) is the source of this 2712-nucleotide long non-coding RNA. RefSeq lists it as uncharacterized. The record is from RefSeq and is a predicted model, not a curated record. NCBI's taxonomy places the organism in Eukaryota, Metazoa, Chordata, Actinopteri, Perciformes, Serranidae.